AUACGUAGGGUGCAAGCGUUGUCCGGAAUUAUUGGGCGUAAAGAGCUCGUAGGCGGUGUGUCGCGUCUGCCGUGAAAACCUGCGGCUUAACCGUGGGCGUGCGGUGGAUACGGGCACACUUGAGUUCGGUAGGGGAGACUGGAAUUCCUGGUGUAGCGGUGGAAUGCGCAGAUAUCAGGAGGAACACCAGUGGCGAAGGCGGGUCUCUGGGCCGAAACUGACGCUGAGGAGCGAAAGCGUGGGGAGCGAACAGGAUUAGAUACCCUGGUAGUCCACGCCGUAAACGGUGGGCGCUAGGUGUGGGAUGCUGUUCACGUGUCCCGUGCCGUAGCUAACGCAUUAAGCGCCCCGCCUGGGGAGUACGGCCGCAAGGCUAAA
RNAcentral lists this ribosomal RNA (378 nucleotides) under uncultured bacterium. RNAcentral's name for it is "bacterial SSU rRNA". It matches the Rfam family "Bacterial small subunit ribosomal RNA", at positions 523 to 898 of the family's 1533-position model. The record is from RNAcentral.